UGGUGUGUACUUGGGAAGUUUUGUUUGUUUACGUCCGAAGACAACAUUGUCCUAAACAUGCCGACUUAUGAAAUGCCAUUAUUAAUUAAAGCACUUAGUCGGCCAGAAACAUUUGUUGUACUGAAACGUGCAAGUCAAACAAUAUUUGAUAAAGGUGGUGUCAUACGAAAGAUUGAAAAUCUUGGGACACGCCAGUUACCUUUCAAAAUUAGAAAGCAUGGUCUUGUUGAGAAAAAAGCCAGUUACUUUUUGAUUGAGUUUGACACUUCACCAAAAACAAUAGACUACUUGAUUGACGAAUUUCACAGAGAUGUAGAUGUCCUGCGUUCCAGGAUUUACAGGUCACAUGAAAAAGAAGAGUUUGAGUGCACAUUUGAAGAGGAGUGCCUGCCUGCAGCAUACAGGAAAGAUGUUCAGAAGUUGUUAGAAAUAGCAAAAAAAGAUGCAAAACCAAAGUUCAAACCAAAUACGUCUCUGGAUUACUAUCCAUUCAACAAGUAGUGGAUGUUGCCUCAACAAGUCCUGUUUUCCUGACAGUGUUCAUAAUACCUAAAUUUCGGGCACUGUAUGAUGAAAUUCUGGAAGAAACAUGAGAAUUUAGCAGCAGUUCUGUGAUAUAUUUCCACUGUUUCGUCAUUGGACAUCAACUUUUAAGAAAAAGAAAAAAAUGUAAUUCCAAAAAUAUUAGUGGUUUUGGACGAUGCUCGCAUUGUUUGUAAAGUGUCUACUCUAAUGGAUUAACCACAUUUAGAAGUCAUCAACUGAUAAUUUUUGUCAAAAAAAAACUGGUGUGCUUUCAGGCAAUGAAAUGACAUUAUAUUGUCCAGUACGUUAUUUUAUUUUAUUUUCAUUUGUUAAUUAGGUAUAACUGUAAUUUGAACUUGAGUGUGUUUGGCAGAGCCGCCAUCACUUGAAAGUCACGUAAUUUAUGUAACAUGCAGAAAUAGUGAGAAAUUUAAAAUCAAGUGUAUGCUCAAAAUAUUCCAAAGAAAAAUAGUGUCGUACUUAUGGCAGGAAAUACAAGAAAAGCUCUAAUUAAAACUUGUUUAUUAAUUGUUGGAUUCUACUUAAAUUUAAUGUACACUGUUUGGUUGUAAUUACCUACAUACUUCUGGAAACAGUUUACAUUAAUUAAUUUGUUGAAUCAAACUGAUGAAAUUUCAAUAAUAUAUUGUAAAAGUGACUUAGGAGUCUGUAUGAUGAAAUAUGUUGAGUGAUACUGUUUUCAGUUAUUCAGAAGUUUAUAUGAAUAUCACUGAUUGUGAACAAGAUAUUAAAUUAAUCAAGAAGAGUCAGUUGAAAAUAAUGUUUAGUGUAAGUGCGAUAGGUGGUCAUGCUACCGUUACUGUAAGUUAAUUUGCUUUUUGUUUCAAUAAAUAUUUGAAUAUUCAUAA
RNA transcript from Schistocerca nitens (vagrant locust), 1394 nucleotides. It is a transcript of the gene named probable 28S ribosomal protein S6, mitochondrial, with no coding region annotated. The record is from RefSeq and is a predicted model, not a curated record. The transcript is spliced from 6 exons. NCBI's taxonomy places the organism in Eukaryota, Metazoa, Arthropoda, Insecta, Orthoptera, Acrididae.